GAUGAACGCUGGCGGCGUGCUUAACACAUGCAAGUCGAACGAAACACCUUAUUUGAUUUUCUUCGGAACUGAAGAUUUGGUGAUUGAGUGGCGGACGGGUGAGUACCUCGGGGGUAACCUGCCCUGUACAGGGGGAUAACAGUCAGAAAUGACUGCUAAUACCGCAUAAGACCACAGCCCCGCAUGGUUCAGGGGUAAAAACUCCGGUGGUACAGGAUGGACCCGCGUCUGAUUAGCUGGUUGGUGAGGUAACGGCUCACCAAGGCGCCGAUCAGUAGCCGGGUUGGGAGAGUGAACGGCGACACUGGGAGUGGGCCACAGCCCGAACUCCUACGCGAGGCAGCAGUGGGGAAUAUUGCAAAACGGGGGAAACCCUGAUGCAGCGACGCCGCGUGAGUGAAGAAGUAUUUCGGUAUGUAACGCUCUAUAAGAAGGGAAGAAAAUGACGGUACCGGACGAAGAAGCCCCGGCUAACUACGUG
This 481-nucleotide ribosomal RNA is filed under the name uncultured bacterium. Its description in RNAcentral is "partial 16S ribosomal RNA". It matches the Rfam family "Bacterial small subunit ribosomal RNA", at positions 28 to 507 of the family's 1533-position model. The record is from RNAcentral.